GUUAAUCUUCCCUAAUGAGAAGGCCACCUUCACUCCAUUAAGAGACAGAUAUAUCAUCAACCUCAUCUUCCAGAUGAAGAAGGCAAUUAUGAAGAAAGCCUGGAAACGGGAGAUACUAACAGGAUGCAAAAGAUGUGACGGGCAGUGCAUGUCUGAAGGGAGAACCCAGCGUGCCAGAGGAAGGUGAGGGAUGCUUAAGGAAUUCACUCUUUGCAAAUUCUGAAAUGGACUGACCUGAUUCCACACCUCCUGGUUUUGUAUCGCUUAGCUGCGUAUGGCUGAGUUGUCCACCAACAUGCACACUUCCCAGAUGUUUAAUAUUUGGCUAAAAUAAAUAAAUCAAAGUAUUUUUUAAAAUGUAUAUUUUGAGAAAAAGCACAUUUCAAAUUCAUAUUUGAAUGUGAACCUUUAUGCAGACUUUUUUUUAAAAAAAAAGGCAAUGAAAAUGGGAUAGAAUGAACAUAUGUGACAGAAAUUGAUUGAUUCUUCUCUCCCCAGAGGUGUACUCUGUUUCUCUUCUGGACAAUGGGGUAACAUGCUUGAAUGGACCAGUUAUAGGCCUUCUUUGUUUCUGCAAAACCCUCGGACUAUCUUUGGAAGGAGACAUCUCAAUUUCUGUAAAUGGG
Molecule: non-coding RNA, 626 nt
Organism: Podarcis lilfordi (Lilford's wall lizard)
Lineage: Eukaryota; Metazoa; Chordata; Lepidosauria; Squamata; Lacertidae
Source: the annotation of a GenBank genome assembly